This 253-nucleotide ribosomal RNA is filed under the name uncultured bacterium. Its description in RNAcentral is "partial 16S ribosomal RNA". It matches the Rfam family "Bacterial small subunit ribosomal RNA", at positions 524 to 776 of the family's 1533-position model. The record is from RNAcentral.
UACGCAAGGGGCUAGCGUUGUUCGGAAUUACUGGGCGUAAAGCGCGCGUAGGCGGCCUUGUAAGAUGGGGGUGAAAUCCCCGGGCUCAACCCGGGAACUGCCUUCAUGACUGCAAAGCUUGAGGAUGCGAGAGGUUAGCGGAAUUCCGAGUGUAGAGGUGAAAUUCGUAGAUAUUCGGAAGAACACCAGUGGCGAAGGCGGCUAACUGGCGCAUUUCUGACGCUGAGGUGCGAAAGCGUGGGGAGCAAACAGG